AGCCCAGAGGAAGCUGAGCGCCUCGGCCAUCCCGCUGCCUUUGGCACCAGUGCCCUCUGCUGGCUGCUGGCGGGAGGGACGAGGGAUUUUGUUUUACUUCUCUUUGUUUGGCCAUCGACACCCCUUUUGUGGCUGAAGGACUGGUAGAAAGGGAAAAACAGGAAGAAAAUGGUGUUUAUUGAUUGGGAGAAAAGAAAAACUUACUUGUGGAGUGAUUGGUCUGAACUGAUUAUAACAGAAGAGGUUUAUUUCUCUCUUGUCCGGAUCACAACUGAAGUGCAGAGCCUCAUUCCCGUAGACUGCAAAGCCUAAGACCCCGAGGAAGAACAUUCGAACUGAUCCAAAGAAAAGGGUGUGAAAUUGGCCAAUCACGUAUUGAGCAUGUACAGUAUCAACUGCUCUGUAAGCUACUGCAUCCAUAUAACCAAGCUCUGUAGGAGAACACAGCCUAUAAAUCCAUAAGAUCUGAGUUCCUGUCUUUUUCUUCCAUUACUGGUUGUUUAAACAUUCCAUGUUAACUCUCAGUUUCACCUAACAAGUCUAAAACUCAGUUUCCUCAUUUGCUUGAAAUUUGUUGAAUGCUUUGGGUUUAUGGAUUUGUUUUCAACACAUUUGGAAAAAAUUAAACCAUUAUUUCUUCAAGUAUUUUUGCCUUCUCCUUUACCUCUUG
Molecule: non-coding RNA, 670 nt
Organism: Odocoileus virginianus texanus
Lineage: Eukaryota; Metazoa; Chordata; Mammalia; Artiodactyla; Cervidae
Source: RefSeq, a predicted model, not a curated record